This 472-nucleotide ribosomal RNA is filed under the name uncultured organism. RNAcentral describes it as "partial 16S ribosomal RNA". It matches the Rfam family "Bacterial small subunit ribosomal RNA", at positions 335 to 798 of the family's 1533-position model. The record is from RNAcentral.
ACUCCUACGGGAGGCAGCAGUGGGGAAUAUUGCACAAUGGGCGCAAGCCUGAUGCAGCCAUGCCGCGUGUAUGAAGAAGGCCUUCGGGUUGUAAAGUACUUUCAGCGGGGAGGAAGGCAAUACGGUUAAUAACCGUGUUGAUUGACGUUACCCGCAGAAGAAGCACCGGCUAACUCCGUGCCAGCAGCCGCGGUAAUACGGAGGGUGCAAGCGUUAAUCGGAAUUACUGGGCGUAAAGCGCACGCAGGCGGUCUGUCAAGUCGGAUGUGAAAUCCCCGGGCUCAACCUGGGAACUGCAUUCGAAACUGGCAGGCUUGAGUCUUGUAGAGGGGGGUAGAAUUCCAGGUGUAGCGGUGAAAUGCGUAGAGAUCUGGAGGAAUACCGGUGGCGAAGGCGGCCCCCUGGACAAAGACUGACGCUCAGGUGCGAAAGCGUGGGGAGCAAACAGGAUUAGAAACCCGAGUAGUCCCAU